GAUAAACGCUGGUGGCGUGCAUAACGCAUGCAAGUCGAACGAUGAACCUUAUUAGAUUUCUUCGGAAUGAAAAUAACUGGAUUACUGGCGAACGGGUGAGUAACACAUGAGUAACCUGCCUUACACAAGGGGAUAGCCUUUGGAAACGAAGAAUAAUACCCUAUAAAGUUAGUCAAUCGCAUGGUAGACAUAACCACAAGAUUUAUCGCGUGUAAGAUGGACUUGCGUCUGAUUAGCUAGUUGGUGAGAUAAAAGCCCACCAAGGCGACGAUCAGUAGCCGGCUUGAGAGAGUGUACGGCCACAUUGGGACUGAGACACGGCCCAAACUCCUACGGGAGGCAGCAGUGGGGAAUUUUGCACAAUGGGGGAAACCCUGAUGCACCGACGCCGCGUGAUUUAUAAGGCCUUCGGGUUGGAAAAAUCUUUUUUAUGGGAUGAAAAUGACAGUACCAUAAGAAUAAGGUCCGGCUAAAUACGUGCCAGCAGCCGCGGUAAUACGUAUGGACCGAGCGUUGUCCGGAAUCAUUGGGCGUAAAGGGUACGUACGCGGCCUACUAAGUUAGAAGUGAAAUAAUAUAGUUCAACUAUAUCAAGCUUUUAAACUGUUAGGCUUGAGAGAUGAAAGGGAAAGUGGAAUUCCUAGAGUAGCGGUGAAAUGCGCAGAUAUUAGGAAGAAUACCGGUGGCGAAGGGGACUUUCUGGUCAUCAUCUGACGCUGAGGUACGAAAGCGUGGGUAGCAAACAGGAUUAGAUACCCUGGUAGUCCACGCUGUAAACGACGAGUGUUAGGUUCUUGGAAUAAUCUGGGAGCCGCAGGUAACGCAUUAAACACUCCGCCUGGGGAGUACGCACGCAAGUGUGAAACUCAAAGGAAUUGACGGGGACCCGCACAAGCAGCGGAGCAUGUGGUUUAAUUCGACGCAACGCGAAGAACCUUACCAAGUCUUGACAUAAUACGGAGGGAGUUAGAGAUAAUUCCUUAUCACUUCGGUGAGCUGAAUUACAGGUGGUGCAUGGUUGUCGUCAGCUCGUGUCGUGAGAUGUUGGGUUAAGUCCCAUAACGAGCGCAACCCCUAUCGUUAGUUACUAUCAUUAAGUUGGGGACUCUAACGAUACUUCCGGUGAUAAACCGGAGGAAGGUGGGGACGACGUCAAAUCAUCAUGCCCUUUAUGACUUGGGCUACACACGUGCUACAAUGGCAGAUACAGAGGGCAGCGAAAGAGCGAUCUGAAGCGAAACUCACAAAGUCUGUCCCAGUUUGGAUUGUACUGUGCAACUCGAGUACAUGAAGUUGGAGUUGCUAGUAAUCGCGAAUCAGAAUGUCGCGGUGAAUGCGUUCCCGGGUCU
RNAcentral lists this ribosomal RNA (1349 nucleotides) under uncultured bacterium. Its description in RNAcentral is "bacterial SSU rRNA". It matches the Rfam family "Bacterial small subunit ribosomal RNA", at positions 28 to 1381 of the family's 1533-position model. The record is from RNAcentral.